UAAAAACAAAGUUUUCUGUCUUUUUAUGAGGCAAAUUUAGCCACAUAGAGUAAUAACAUGCCAAGCCAAAACCACCAGCCCCACUAAAAAUGACAUGAAAAAUUCCAAAUUCAUGAGCUAUAUUUGCUGACCAUCCAAAAAACAUGUCUGAUAUAACACAAAGUGGCUUUUCAAUAAGACUAGAAAGAAGAUUUCUACAUGAAGGUCCAAGUGAAGAGGAAAUUGUUGCAAAAUGUACAGAGAGUUUAUAAGAAAGUGAAUCAGUGUUUUCUAUGAAGGUUCAAGUGAAGAGGAAAUUGUUGUAAAAUGUACAGAGAGUUUAUAAGAAAGUGAAUCAGUGUUUUCAGUGUUUGGAGGCAGACCAUGUUCUGAACUAUUGAAUGGAAUUUCAACAAGGGAAAUAGAUGAAUUUUGUGGUAGAGAUAAUUUGAGUUUCUUGAUAUUGAGAGGUGUAUUCACA
Molecule: long non-coding RNA, 460 nt
Filed under: Solanum tuberosum (potato)
Lineage: Eukaryota; Viridiplantae; Streptophyta; Magnoliopsida; Solanales; Solanaceae
Description: long non-coding RNA (STUB_LNC010866)
Source: RNAcentral